RNAcentral lists this ribosomal RNA (458 nucleotides) under uncultured bacterium. RNAcentral's name for it is "partial 16S ribosomal RNA". It matches the Rfam family "Bacterial small subunit ribosomal RNA", at positions 338 to 795 of the family's 1533-position model. The record is from RNAcentral.
CCUACGGGUGGCAGCAGUGAGGAAUAUUGGUCAAUGGGCGAGAGCCUGAACCAGCCAAGUCGCGUGAGGGAGUACUGCCCUAUGGGUUGUAAACCUCUUUUGUCGGGGAGCAAAAGCCGGACGUGUCCGGCUGUGAGAGUACCCGAAUAAAAAGCAUCGGCUAACUCCGUGCCAGCAGCCGCGGUAAUACGGAGGAUGCGAGCGUUAUCCGGAUUUAUUGGGUUUAAAGGGUGCGCAGGCGGAUUUUUAAGUCAGCGGUAAAAUCGUGGGGCUCAACCCCAUCCAGCCGUUGAAACUGGGGAUCUAGAGUGUGCGAGAGGUAUGCGGAAUGCGUGGUGUAGCGGUGAAAUGCAUAGAUAUCACGCAGAACCCCGAUCGCGAAGGCAGCAUACCGGUGCACAACUGACGCUCAGGCACGAAAGCGUGGGUAUCGAACAGGAUUAGAUACCCCAGUAGUC